UUUUGAUUAGAAGCCAAAAAUGAGGCUUAUUAUUGUUAAUAAUACCAUUGAAAAAAAUUCCUAUCAAGAA
Molecule: transfer RNA, 70 nt
Filed under: Polycheles typhlops
Lineage: Eukaryota; Metazoa; Arthropoda; Malacostraca; Decapoda; Polychelidae
Description: tRNA-Asn
Source: RNAcentral